RNAcentral lists this long non-coding RNA (2188 nucleotides) under Homo sapiens (human). RNAcentral's name for it is "PREDICTED lncRNA (TCONS_00191750)". Lineage: Eukaryota; Metazoa; Chordata; Mammalia; Primates; Hominidae. The record is from RNAcentral.
GAAGCCAGGCCAAGAAGAAUCCCAGGACUGGAAGGCCUUGUGGGACGUCCCAGGUUUGUCUUGUGUCAAUAGCACUGAUACUCAAUCUCCUACUCCCAUCUGUGAGCAUGCAGACCCUACUUGCCUUCCCACAGCCUCCCUUUUCAUAUUUUUCAUGUUUCUUUAGCUCUGUCUUCAAGCCUUGUUGCUCCCGCAAAAAAACCUGCCUCUUCCUCCAGUCCUCCCAAGCAGGGGGAACAGUCCUGACACCUUUCCAAGCCCUGGUCCAUGGACAUUGUGCCCCCUUCUCCCUGCCCAUGGUGACCUGCUCCAAAACCCUCAAGGAGAAGGGAGUGUAUGUCAUUUCCUCCCUGUAAAGUAAAGAUAAUUUUGCAGGGGACUGUGUGGAUGAAAUGACAUGAUGCAUGGAAAUCCCUUAGCGUGUGCCUGGCAUGUAAACUGCAGGUGUCAUCAUUAUUACUGAGGAAUACUGAGUCCCGAACAUGGCUGUCUCAUUGGUGGACUGGGGUCUCCCCCAGGGCAUUCAUCUACUAUGUGUUUAUUGCACCCUUUUUCCAUGUGAGGCACAUGCCAGGGACUGGGCACAUGGUAUGAACAAGACACAGGUCAUCGGUGUCCUCUUGAGCUCCCUGGCUUGGCAGCAGAUGCAUACCUGGGAAGGAUGCUAGGUCAUCCGGGAACUCUACCUCCUUCAAAUCCCUAAGGACUGUGCUCCCAAUCCGCUUACGCUCAAGGAAGAACUGGUCAGCCCUAGGUGCAGCUGCAACCUGAGGGACUUGUCCUGGGAUCAGACAUUUUGAGGACUUUCUUGACCCUUGGCUGAUAUCCUUGCAGGCAGGACCUGCAGCUAAGCAAGACGUAGGACUGCAAGCUGGGUUGGCACCCUCCCCCUAGGGAGUUCUCCAGGCCUUGCCCCCUCUGUCCCCAGCCUGGAAGCCCUCCCUGGUACCAUACCCCAGCCGAUGAGAAGGCCCAGAACCAGCCUGCUGUCAGGAUCAGAACAAAAGAGGAGGACUGCAUAUGUAUGGACCCACUCCAGAUGGCACGGGGACGGGGGGAGUAGGAAAAGUGGCAUGAUGAGGAAAUGGAGGCACAGACUGAUUAGAAAACCAGCUCAAGGUCAUGUUGCUGCUCUCUCAUUCCUGUUGAGGGCUCUCUGGUGGAGCCUCUGUCUCACAGGUCACCUGCAGGCCAACACUCCCAGAAGCAGCUAGCACCAUGGUUGACCUCGUCCAGGUCCAGGGAAGGCCUCCCUCUCCAGGACUCCUUUAGAUUUCCCCAGCAUCCAGACCUCACCUGCCUAAGUGCUGUUGCCCUGGAAGCCACAGUGAGCACGAGCUCCAUCUUGCACCUUUACCAGCCAAUGGGGGUAAAGACAUUAGCUGGCCAUGUUCAAUCCCCUCAAGGGAAGCCUGAGACCACAGCUACUGCCUCGAAUCAGAAGCCCCAGCCUCAUCAUCUGGGGCCAGAGAACUAGGGCAGGAGGAGCCAAGUAGCACAGCAGGAAGCAUGAGUCCCUCCGAGGAGAAGCUGGUCUCUGAGAGGAGCACAGAAUGCAGCAGGCUGGAUAAGCCCCCUGCUGAAAUCAUGGGGUAAAAAAGAGACACAGGGGGAAUGGAGGAGCCAGAGAGAAAGCAGUGUGAUCACAGGCACACAGGACAGCAGCUCACCUUCCCAUCCUUGCUGGCUUUUGCACCCAACAGCCCAAAGCCUCCCCGCUGCAAAUUCUUUUUUUUUUUUUUUUUUGCCAGCCUCACUUCCUCUUGGGGAAGGCUGAGCUCUGGUAGAAGAAGAGAAUGAGAACUGCUGUAAAUACUUCUAAGGGGCCAGGCGUGGUGACUCAUGCUUGUAAUUCCAAGCACUUUGGGAGGCUGAGGCAGGUGGAUCACCUGAAGCCAGGAGUUCAAGAGCAGCCUGGCCAACAUGGCGAAACCCUGUCUCUACUAAAAAUACAAAAUUUAGCCAGGCAUGGUGGCGGGAGCCUGUAAUCUCAGCUCCUAGGGAGGCUGAGCCAGAAGAAUCGCUUAAACCUGGAAGCUGGAGGUUGCAGUGAGCCAAGAUCACACCACCACACUCCAGCCUGGGUGACAGAGCAAGACUCCAUCUCAAAAAGAAAAAAAAGAAAAAAAGGAAAUACUUCUAAGUUAUGUGAGAGAGUACAUACUGACAUUUUCAAUGGGUACAAUAA